This 496-nucleotide ribosomal RNA is filed under the name uncultured bacterium. RNAcentral's name for it is "SSU rRNA". It matches the Rfam family "Bacterial small subunit ribosomal RNA", at positions 1 to 486 of the family's 1533-position model. The record is from RNAcentral.
UCGGCUUAGAGUUUGAUCCUGGCUCAGAUUGANCGCUGNCGGCAUGCUUAACNCAUGCAAGUUGANCGGCAGCNCGANCUAGUUUACUAGUUGGGUGGCGAGUGGCGCACGGGUGAGUAACGCGUAGGAAUAUGCCUUAAAGAGGGGGACAACCUGGGGAAACUCAGGCUAAUACCGCGUAAUUUCUUCGGAAAAAAGCUGGGGACCUUAGGGCCUGGCGCUUUAAGAAUAGCCUGCGUCUGAUUAGCUAGUUGGUGGGGUAAGGGCCUACCAAGGCGACGAUCGGUAGCUGGUCUGAGAGGAUGAUCAGCCACACUGGGACUGAGACACGGCCCAGACUCCUACGGGAGGCAGCAGUGGGGAAUAUUGGACAAUGGGGGGAACCCUGAUCCAGCAAUGCCGCGUGUGUGAAGAAGGCCUGAGGGUUGUAAAGCACUUUCAGCGGGGAGGAGGUUUGGAAGGUUAAGAGGCAUUCGNAUGGAAGUUACCCGCAGAG